This is a long non-coding RNA of Bubalus bubalis (water buffalo), 554 nucleotides long. RefSeq lists it as uncharacterized. The record is from RefSeq and is a predicted model, not a curated record. The transcript is spliced from 4 exons. NCBI's taxonomy places the organism in Eukaryota, Metazoa, Chordata, Mammalia, Artiodactyla, Bovidae.
GGUGAAGCAGUCCACAGGUGAAACCAACCAAUUGGCUGAUAUCAGGAAGGUUUUGUUUCUAUUUAUAUCGCCUCUUUUUCAUCAUAAAGGACUUAGAUAUCCAUGUUCCACUAUUCCUUGUAACUACCGUGCAGGUUCAUUGUUGUGAUGAUCAAGAAUGUAUGCUGACACUGGCCUAGGGGGCGGAAGAACAGGUUAUGAAACACAUCUAAUUAAUCAGCCAGAAUGUCAUCUCAUCGGUUCUGAGAAGCGUCAUCCAGGCCUAAAAGCCGGACUGUGCCAGUUCUGGUAAACAGAAGUCACUCUCUCUAGAAAACAAAGGCCAGUUGGAGAAGACAGCUUGUGCCAGUACACAAAAACACAAGGACAUCAUCUCUGGAUAACUAAGAGACAACACGUCCUGGGUACAUGAUAUAGGCAGACCUGUUAUAUUUCUGAAGAUACCAGAAGAUAGAUUUAUGCAAGGGUACUCUGUUUAAGAAGCCAUCUGUCUGCUUUGGGCAAAUGACUGUGAGCCUAAUCCACUUACAGAAAAUGUCAACAAAAUUGCUUCA